Molecule: ribosomal RNA, 371 nt
Filed under: uncultured organism
Description: partial 16S ribosomal RNA
Rfam family: Bacterial small subunit ribosomal RNA
Source: RNAcentral
GGAGGGUGCAAGCGUUAUCCGGAUUUACUGGGGUCUAAAGGGGGUGCGUAGGCGGCGCAGUAAGUCAGUGGUGAAAGCCCAGAGCUCAACUUUGGGAAUUGCCAUUGAAACUGCUGUGCUUGAGUACGGAUGAAGUGGGCGGAAUGUAGCAUGUAGCGGUGAAAUGCUUAGAUAUGCUACAGAACACCGAUUGCGAAGGCAGCUCACUAGACCGUUACUGACGCUGAUGCACGAAAGCGUGGGGAGCGAACAGGAUUAGAUACCCUGGUAGUCCACGCCCUAAACUAUGUUCACUCGGUAUGUGCGAUAUACUGUACGUGCCCAAGCGAAAGCGUUAAGUGAACCACCUGGGGAGUACGUUCGCAAGAAUG